AAAUUGAAGAGUUUGAUCAUGGCUCAGAUUGAACGCUGGCGGCAGGCCUAACACAUGCAAGUCGAACGGUAACAGAAAGCAGCUUGCUGCUUUGCUGACGAGUGGCGGACGGGUGAGUAAUGUCUGGGAAACUGCCCGAUGGAGGGGGAUAACUACUGGAAACGGUAGCUAAUACCGCAUAACGUCGCAAGACCAAAGAGGGGGACCUUAGGGCCUUUUGCCAUCGGAUGUGCCCAGAUGGGAUUAGCUAGUAGGUGGGGUAACGGCUCACCUAGGCGACGAUCCCUAGCUGGUCUGAGAGGAUGACCAGCCACACUGGAACUGAGACACGGUCCAGACUCCUACGGGAGGCAGCAGUGGGGAAUAUUGCACAAUGGGCGCAAGCCUGAUGCAGCCAUGC
RNAcentral lists this ribosomal RNA (400 nucleotides) under Escherichia coli. Its description in RNAcentral is "bacterial SSU rRNA". It matches the Rfam family "Bacterial small subunit ribosomal RNA", at positions 1 to 397 of the family's 1533-position model. The record is from RNAcentral. Lineage: Bacteria; Pseudomonadati; Pseudomonadota; Gammaproteobacteria; Enterobacterales; Enterobacteriaceae.